UACGGAGGGGGCUAGCGUUGUUCGGAAUUACUGGGCGUAAAGUGCACGUAGGCGGCUUUGUAAGUUAGAGGUGAAAGCCCGGGGCUCAACUCCGGAAUUGCCUUUAAGACUGCAUCGCUAGAAUUGUGGAGAGGUAAGUGGAAUUCCGAGUGUAGAGGUGAAAUUCGUAGAUAUUCGCAAGAACACCAGUGGCGAAGGCGGCUCACUGGCCCGGUACUGACGCUGAGGUGCGAAAGCGUGGGGAGCAAACAGG
This 253-nucleotide ribosomal RNA is filed under the name uncultured bacterium. Its description in RNAcentral is "partial 16S ribosomal RNA". It matches the Rfam family "Bacterial small subunit ribosomal RNA", at positions 524 to 776 of the family's 1533-position model. The record is from RNAcentral.